Molecule: long non-coding RNA, 1024 nt
Organism: Parus major (Great Tit)
Lineage: Eukaryota; Metazoa; Chordata; Aves; Passeriformes; Paridae
Exons: 3
Source: RefSeq, a predicted model, not a curated record
CGGACGGACCGUCAGUGCCGGGCGGCCGCGGCUCCGCCGGCUGCUUCCGGGGCUCUCCGGGUUGGCCCGCCCGCCUCCCCGCCGGCACGGGUGACAGCGAGCCGGCGCGACAUCCCGCUGCAGGAGACACCCGUACCCCGGAGCACAGGAUAGCCCUCCCUCCGUCCCUGCUCCCGCUGCACGGGACACCCGUGUUCCCGGUACAAGGAAACGGCCUCUCCUCAGCGCACAGGACGCCCAUGUCCCCGGCACACGGCACCUGUCAGAUUUGGGCUACAGAAGAGCGAGGAGAUGGCCAUGGCUUGGGGUGAGCCCAGCACUGCCCAUAGCCCUGCAGCCGGGGCUCCCCUUGGGCACCUGGAGUCCAUUGGCCCUAAAAUGCAUGUGUACAGCCCCCCCUGUGAAGCUGCUCGGAGAGGCAGGAAGGGAGACCACAUCAUGCUACCAACUGUCCUGAUGACUCCCAUGAGUAUGAAGCUGGCAAGGAACAGCCAUCCCCUUUGUUGUGCUUCUUCUGAACCACCAUUCAGCCAGGGAAACAAUGCCUAAACUGUGCUUGGUUUGCUUUGUAGCUUCUUCCUUGCCACGUGAUGCUCACAGCAAACCCUGGGGAUCUGUGUGAGGGAGUGCAGGCAGGUGGGGGAGCCGGGCAGGAUACUGUGCUCCACUGUCACACUUAAAAACUCUUGCUGACCACAUCUGAGGGAAGAGAAUAAAAGAAGGAUAACAUCCACUGAUCUGCUUUGCUGGAGAGAAUUACGUCCAGUGUUUGUCAGCACAAUUCGUCAUCCGAGGAUCCCCGCAGAUCCACCACAGCUCUUGGCGUCUUGGAUGUCAGCCAUGGCACAGAAAAUCCUCUUUCACUGCUUGUUUCCGAGCCCAGGUGAAAACCCAUUAAAGGCAGCCGCUUCACCACUCCCUGCUCCCACCAAGGCCCUCACUGACCUGUCACUUGUGUCCUCUCACUGCAGCCAUGGGAUAAUUUGUACCAAAGUGCAGGACUGAAAGAAAUGGUUUAAAAAUA